CCUGCCCUCAGGAUGGGGACAACAGCUGGAAACGGCUGCUAAUACCGAAUACGAUCAAUCGGCCGCAUGGCCGGAUGAUGAAAGGAUGGCCUCUAUAUAUAAGCUAUCGCCGGAGGAGGGGUUUGCGUCUGAUUAGCUAGUUGGAGGGGUAACGGCCCACCAAGGCGACGAUCAGUAGCCGGUCUGAGAGGACGAACGGCCACAUUGGAACUGAGACACGGUCCAGACUCCUACGGGAGGCAGCAGUGGGGAAUCUUCCGCAAUGGGCGAAAGCCUGACGGAGCAACGCCGCGUGAGUGAAGACGGCCUUCGGGUUGUAAAGCUCUGUUAUAUGGGACGAACGUAUCUAUGGCCAAUACCCAUAGAUAGUGACGGUACCGUAAGAGAAAGCCACGGCUAACUACGUGCCAGCAGCCGCGGUAAUACGUAGGUGGCAAGCGUUGUCCGGAAUUAUUGGGCGUAAAGGGCGCGCAGGCGGCCUGUCAAGUCUGUCUUAAAAGUGCGGGGCUCAACCCCGUGAUGGGACGGAAACUGGCAGGCUGGAGUGUCGGAGAGGAAAGCAGAAUUCCUAGUGUAGCGGUGAAAUGCGUAGAUAUUAGGAGGAAUACCAGUGGCGAAAGCGGCUUUCUGGACGACAACUGACGCUGAGGCGCGAAAGCCAGGGGAGCAAACGGGAUUAGAUACCCCGGUAGUCCUGGCCGUAAACGAUGGGUACUAGGUGUAGGAGGUAUCGACCCCUUCUGUGCCGGAGUU
Molecule: ribosomal RNA, 753 nt
Filed under: uncultured bacterium
Lineage: Bacteria
Description: bacterial SSU rRNA
Rfam family: Bacterial small subunit ribosomal RNA
Source: RNAcentral